GGAGAGGUGGCUCAGUGGUUAGGAGCACUGGCUACUCUGCCAGAGGACCCGGGUUCCAUUCCCAGCACCUGCA
Molecule: transfer RNA, 73 nt
Filed under: Rattus norvegicus (Norway rat)
Lineage: Eukaryota; Metazoa; Chordata; Mammalia; Rodentia; Muridae
Rfam family: tRNA
About the family: Transfer RNA (tRNA) molecules are approximately 80 nucleotides in length.
Source: Rfam by way of RNAcentral